UGGGUGACACAUUUUGGUGCAAAUCGGACUUAUGGACAAAUUUAACUACAGCAACCGGCAAAUGAUGCAGCAUGAGGGUGAUUGUCUUCUUAGCGUAAGUAUUUUAUCAUAUCUCUAUCAAUGAUCUCCUCACAUACAAAUCAUACAGUAUACUGUUCUAUACUUUUUCCUACAGAAGUCAGACUAUUUGUUCUUCUUGGCAUAUACAUUUUGACUACAUGAACUGAGUUUCUGAUACAGUUGCCAUUUAGGUUGAACAAUUCAUACUUUGUUGCUCAAUUUGGGCUUGAUAUUAUGUAGGUCUUAAAUUAUUUCUUAGUAUGUAUGUUUUUGCUUGAAUAUUUAUCUGCGUUGUACAUUGCUUUUGAAGGCAAACUGAUGAUAUGUUGUUAAUUAUUAAAGCACCCAAAGUUCUAAUGUACCACGAGAUUUUGCAAGUUAGUAAUAUUGCAUUUCUAUGACAUUUUAACAAACAAAUUUUCAUCUGUAUAUUGGAUCUAUCUUGCUAUAAAUUGUUGUUAUUUCUUAACACAAUCUGUUCAGAUCUGAGGAAGAGAAGGAAGGCCCCAAGUUAAUUUAUAGAGAAUCAAAAAGGAAGAAGGCACAGGAAUAAGAGAACAAGGCGACUCUGGGUCGGCUCUCGUGGUGGCGCUGGGUGAAGGAGAUAAUGGGGCUGUUGUUGGGUGGAGGAGGGGGCUUGGGGUGUUGCCUAGAGCGCAGAUGAUGGGUUGCAGUAGUGCAAGCCAUGCCUUGUAAUAAUGAGCAAUCACCGUGUAGUCAAUUUUAC
Non-coding RNA from Lolium perenne, 787 nucleotides. NCBI's taxonomy places the organism in Eukaryota, Viridiplantae, Streptophyta, Magnoliopsida, Poales, Poaceae. The record is from RefSeq and is a predicted model, not a curated record.